Small nucleolar RNA from Zalophus californianus (California sea lion), 134 nucleotides. The record is from Ensembl. Lineage: Eukaryota; Metazoa; Chordata; Mammalia; Carnivora; Otariidae.
AAGUCCAUCCUCACCCGUGCUGGGCAGCCCGUGGUCCAGCAGGUCUCCCUCGUGGAUCGGAGCUCUCUAGAAGCCUCACCCAGAGGCGUGAGCAAGGCCUCAGGGGGCUUGUGGACAGGAGCUUCUAGACACUC